This 915-nucleotide long non-coding RNA is filed under the name Mus musculus (house mouse). RNAcentral describes it as "long non-coding RNA chr14:12284300-12285215". Lineage: Eukaryota; Metazoa; Chordata; Mammalia; Rodentia; Muridae. The record is from RNAcentral.
GGGGAUGAGGAGGAAGCUAAUGAGGGGAGCCAGGUGACCAGAAAGGUUUUCCAGAGUUUUCUGGGACGAAAGGCGGGACUUGGGGUGGCCGUUGGGCGCUUCCUCGCUUCAAAAGGCAGAGUUUUUCUUGAACUGCUCCCGAAGGAGAGGAAGAGAGGCGGCAGGAGUGGCUUUCCAGGGGCGCCUGGACGCUGCCCUGGUCGGCUGCAAACCUCGCCGGGAGGAAGGCGAGGAAGCCGGGCGUGAGGUGGGCCCUGGGCGGAGAAGGAGCCUGCUGAAGGGCCGGGCAGGCCCCUGUGCAGUGUGCGGAGCACCCAGAGCUCGGGCGUCCGGUCGCCAUCCGAUCCUGAGCGAGCGGCGUUUAAUUUCAGAAAGUUUAGGGAAGUCUCCUUCACGGAAUGUCAGUGUUGGAUGUGUCUCCCUUUGGUGGGGCACCUUUAGCUUGUGUGCUCAGCCUAGCGCGUUCAGAGCACGUCAUUAGCCCACCAUCUAUACUUGUGCAAGUACUUUAGCCAAGGGGAGUGGUGCCUGGUGUAGUGUGCCAUAGGAAGUCUCCAAACGCGAGUGCUGACUUGCUAGAACGCGGCGGGCAGACUUAAUCGACUUUUUCCUAAGUUACACAUGUAAAAAUACUUCCCCUGUUUGGAAGGGUCAUGGUAGCACUGAGCAGUCUUCCGCUAAAGGCAAGACCAUGAGUUCCCAGUUGGUCCUCAGACGUGUUUGCCUUUCUGUCUAUGAGUGUGUGUUGAAUUUUUAGGUUUUUUUUUUUCUUUCUGUUAAAAUGUCCAUUAGUCUUAGUGCCGGCUGUUUGUUUGUUGAAAUUCUGUUUAAGAUUAGAGCUUGGGUGGAGGUAGCAGAUAUGAAGCGUCUUGAGUUUACCUGAUCCAUGGUGUUUUGAGUGAAUUUGACAAAUGC